Long non-coding RNA from Vicia villosa (hairy vetch), 516 nucleotides. RefSeq lists it as uncharacterized. The record is from RefSeq and is a predicted model, not a curated record. NCBI's taxonomy places the organism in Eukaryota, Viridiplantae, Streptophyta, Magnoliopsida, Fabales, Fabaceae. The transcript is spliced from 3 exons.
AAUCUGACUUUAUACAUAUCAAUCUCUUGUACUUCUUGUUUAUUUUCAUUUCUUUUGGUUGAUUUUGUUUUUUUUUCUAUUUUGUCAUUAUGCUUUGAGGUAGCUCUCAUCUCAGUUUGGUGAAAUAAUGAAUUGAAGAUUGGGUUUGAACUUUGAACAAAUUAAAGACCUAUAUCAAUCCUACACAAACUGUUAUGAGGAGAAGAUUCAAGACAAUAAAAAAUUAUAGAGGAAAUUGCACAAGUCGAGGAAAAUAUCAUUGAAGAAAAUAUCAUUGAAGAGACAAACAAUAGAGAAGAAGAUAAAGGAACACCAAAGAGAAGAAGUCAUGGGAAAAUUUUGUGCAAGAAGAUUCAUGGAAGAACUCUAGAAGAGUGAGAAGAAGUGAUCAUUAUUGGGGAUGGUCAGUCUAUUAGGCCAAAUGAUAAAGUAGCAUCUGACUUAAUCUCUUCUUGGGAACAUUGGCUAGGAACUCGAUAUUUUUUCCUCUUAAACUAUACUUAAAGAAACUAUGUA